ACGGAGGAUCCAAGCGUUAUCCGGAUUCAUUGGGUUUAAAGGGUGCGUAGGCGGAUUUGUAAGUCAGUGGUGAAAUCCUACAGCUUAACUGUAGAACUGCCAUUGAUACUGCAAGUCUUGAGUGUGUUUGAAGUGGGCGGAAUGUGUCAUGUAGCGGUGAAAUGCAUAGAUAUGACACAGAACACCAAUUGCGUAGGCAGCUCACUAAGCCACAACUGACGCUGAGGCACGACAGCGUGGGGAUCAAACAGG
RNAcentral lists this ribosomal RNA (252 nucleotides) under uncultured bacterium. Its description in RNAcentral is "partial 16S ribosomal RNA". It matches the Rfam family "Bacterial small subunit ribosomal RNA", at positions 525 to 776 of the family's 1533-position model. The record is from RNAcentral.